Molecule: ribosomal RNA, 208 nt
Filed under: uncultured bacterium
Lineage: Bacteria
Description: partial 16S ribosomal RNA
Rfam family: Bacterial small subunit ribosomal RNA
Source: RNAcentral
UCGGAUUGUAGUCUGCAACUCGACUACAUGAAGCUGGAAUCGCUAGUAAUCGCAGAUCAGAAUGCUGCGGUGAAUACGUUCCCGGGUCUUGUACACACCGCCCGUCACACCAUGGGGGUCGGAAAUGCCCGAAGCCGGUGACCCAACCAAAAGGAGGGAGCCGUCGAAGGCAGGUCUGAUAACUGGGGUGAAGUCGUAACAAGGUAUC